Molecule: small RNA, 76 nt
Filed under: Flavobacterium cutihirudinis
Lineage: Bacteria; Pseudomonadati; Bacteroidota; Flavobacteriia; Flavobacteriales; Flavobacteriaceae
Description: Flavo-1 RNA
Rfam family: Flavo-1 RNA
Source: RNAcentral
CCCUAGCCCCGAUAGAAGCGGCAUCCUUUUGUGGUGGGGUUCACCACAAAAGAUACAGCGGAUAGCGGGAUUAGCU